RNAcentral lists this ribosomal RNA (874 nucleotides) under uncultured Nitrososphaerota archaeon. RNAcentral describes it as "bacterial SSU rRNA". It matches the Rfam family "Archaeal small subunit ribosomal RNA", at positions 1 to 884 of the family's 1478-position model. The record is from RNAcentral. Lineage: Archaea; Thermoproteati; Nitrososphaerota.
UCCGGUUGAUCCUGCCGGACCUGACUGCUAUCGGAUUGGUACUAAGCCAUGCGAGUCGUUGUAGCAAUACAAGGCAGACGGCUCAGUAACACGUAGUCGACCUAACCUAUGGACGUGGAUAACCUCGGGAAACUGAGAAUAAACCAUGAUAGAUCAUAAUGCCUGGAAUGGUUUAUGGUCCAAACAAUUUAUUGCCGUAGGAUGGGACUGCGGCCUAUCAGCUUGUUGGUGAGGUAAUGGCCCACCAAGGCUAUAACAGGUACGGGCUCUGAGAGGAGAAGCCCGGAGAUGGGUACUGAGACACGGACCCAGGCCCUAUGGGGCGCAGCAGGCGAGAAACCUUAGCAAUGUGCGAAAGCACGACUAGGUUAAUCCGAGUGGUUCCUGCUAAAGGAACCUUUUGUCAGUCGUAAAACCACAGACGAAUAAGGGGUGGGCAAGUCUGGUGUCAGCCGCCGCGGUAAUACCAGCACCUCGAGUGGUCAGGAGGUUUAUUGGGCCUAAAGCAUCCGUAGCCGGCUUUGCAAGUCUCCGGUUAAAUCCAACUGCUUAACAGAUGGGCUGCCGGAGAUACUACAAAGCUAGGGAGCGGGAGAGGUAGACGGUACUCUGUGGGUAGGGGUAAAAUCCACUGAUCCAUAGAAGACCACCAGUGGCGAAGGCGGUCUACCAGAACGCGUUCGACGGUGAGGGAUGAAAGCUGGGGGAGCAAACCGGAUUAGAUACCCGGGUAGUCCCAGCUGUAAACGAUGCAAACUCGGUGAUGCAUUGGCUUAUGGCCAAUGCAGUGCCGCAGGGAAGCCGUUAAGUUUGCCGCCUGGGAAGUACGGACGCAAGUCUGAAACUUAAAGGAAUUGGCGGGGGAGCACCACAA